UACAGAGGCCUCGAGCGUUAGGCGGAAUCACUGGGCUUAAAGCGUGUGUAGGCGGACUUCUAAGUACCUUGUGAGAUCCCACGGCUCACCCGUGGAACUGCUCGGUAUACUGGUCGUCUUGAGCCUUCUAGGGGCGAGUGGAACGAAUGGUGGAGCGGUGAAAUGCGUAGAUAUCAUUUGGAACGCCAAUGGUGAAAACAACUCGCUGGGGAAGUGCUGACGCUGAGACACGAAAGCCAGGGGAGCAAACGGG
Molecule: ribosomal RNA, 253 nt
Filed under: uncultured bacterium
Lineage: Bacteria
Description: partial 16S ribosomal RNA
Rfam family: Bacterial small subunit ribosomal RNA
Source: RNAcentral